CAGUACCCGACCAGUCCACCAGAGGACACUAAGUAAGAGAGCAGAGAGCGGCCCUACUGAAUGAAGAGUCAGAAGUCAGCAGAAAGUGAGCUGGAGACCAAACAGAUAUGGUCGGAUUAUGGCGAAGCUACUUUGAAGCAAGGAGACGAAGGGCGUGCUGAGCUCUGUGAGGAACAGGCAGCCGAUGAAGUAAUCGCCCUGGUCCCUCCUGAAGAACUGAAAGGCAAAGGGAGGGAGACGGCACACAGUUACAACAAUCUAAAACAAGACCACGCACACACAUAGAGAUCCACACACCCACCCAAAAUGGCCCUCGGUACUUUAGGCCUUGUAGGCAAAUUGACUAUCCCUAGGGCUGCACAUACAAAAACAGAAGUCAGGACACAGCUCAAUAACUCCAACAAGGCUACAAACCAACUUGGCCAACAGAGGACAAACCAGGCCCAGGGUCAUGUUCAUCAGGCAACAAACAGAAGAAAAUGGACUGAAACUGGGAGGAACUACCUGGACUUUUCCAAUAAGAAACACUCAUAUUUCGUGGCAAAAGGUUUCCGUUGCAUGCAAUAAUGAACACGACCCAGACUUAUGCCAUAAGUCCAGACGUUAAGGUAAGGGAAUAGAUCACAAUGAGUAAAUUAGUAAAUGUAUGGAGGAGCAGUGAUGGAAGCUGCAGACAGGGAGGAUGCCAAACAGAGGGCUCUGUGUGUGUUAUGUGAUGAUGAAUAAACCAGUAGUGUGUGGGGCCCAGACACCAGUUCUGCCAUCUGCCCAAUGGAAGAAUGAACUGCAGCACAAACUGCUGCCAUGUAACACUACACCUACCUACCCCCUGUACCUGCCUGCUGGACCCAGUGUGUGUGUGUUACCUGACUGUGUGGGAGGGGAACGAAGCAGGGAGUAGGAGAAGGGGAGGAGAAGAGGAUCACAGCAGCUGGAGCCUGAAUAAUGGAGGUGUAGGGUAAGGUGAUCUCAUGUCACCAUUGAAAGCCACUGAAAACUAAAGAUGCCAGGUUUCCAAUGCACUUGGCCUUCUCUCUACAUGAAAUGGACACCAUUUUUUAUUUUACCUUUAUUAAAAACUGUUGCCGGAAAAACAAAUCCCAUUGCAAACUAAUGCUUUUUAUUAAUUGAUGGAAAUACCAGUUGAUGUAAAUGCAUUUGACCUUUCAGGCUUAUCUGUAUAUAGGUUAGUUUGCAUCAUUUAGUGGAAUUACUUUAGACUGUGUAUUUUCGUUAGCCAUCAUGUAUCUUAUUUAACCAACAACUAUCACACGCGCACAGCAUUCAGAGUGGGAUUUCUCCUGCAGCUGGAGUAAAACAUGUGCUUUUAAGAGCCAAUUAAUUGCGCAACAAUUCUAAAUGCAACCACAUGCUGAAAACUGUUUUGGUGCAACAUUUUUCAAAACAGGUAUUAUUUUUUAUUUCUCAAUAGGUAAUUAAAGCUAGACUCCUAUUCAAGUGCAGGCAACAGGCUAUCAGCACGUCACCCACCACUUUACAAUGUGAGCUGGAGGCAGUAUGCAUUUCGAAAACAUAGUUAAUUUUUUUUUAAAUCAGAAUGUUUUAUUUAAUAUUAUGAGGAAUGUCUUACUCUGCUUCAAAGUAACCUAUUGGCAAAAUCUGACCAUGGGAGCUUGGACGCAAUUAUUACUUCAUUGGCAGAGCGUGAGUUUCAAGUUUGGGGAAGCUUAGAAUUUAUCCUACCAUUCUGUGUGCCAGUUAUGCAUUUCUCAAAAUCAUUGUCACGUGGUCAAUCAUAAUGCGAGAUCACCAGCCUCUGCCAUAGGGACACAUUGAUACGUGAUCCAUUGGCGGCUAAAGAAAUGAGAGCAUGGAACAAUGAGAGCAUGGAACUCAUAGCCUCUAGGCCAAUGCAGGCCUAGAACUUCACAUUGAGGAUUAUCGAGAGUGAGAUUGUUGGAAAGAUUUUUCAAAUAGUAUACUUUGAGAAAUUAUAGUUUUAAUAUCAUUCACAUUAGAUGUUAACCCAUACGAGUCUAAGUCCCUGAGGUUCUACUAAGCUAUAUGGAAUUGCUUUAAAAAGGUUAUACCAAGGAUCAUUAAGCUAAUUGAUUUUGAAUUUUAAGACCCCUUGAAGUAUAAAAAAAUAUGAACAAAAAUGAUUAGAUAAAUUAUUUUUGGCCUUACUGUUAUUAGCCCAUACAAAUGCAUUGAAUAACAGAUUCACUACAUGGAACAUUAUAUAGUACAAAAAAAUAUCAAAAAGGUUGUUUUGAAGUGUUUCUUCUAUAUAUAGCUGAGCGAUAUAAGAUCAGGAAACACACACACACACACUUUCCUUCACACAUGUAUUUAACCCCAUUAAGACAAGUCUUCUGACACUUGUGGAGAAAACCAUCAUGUUCGUGAGAAUCUCAUCUUUCCAUAGAGGGAUCAUAUUAGUUGUAAAGGCCAAACUGUUUGGACGCUUCAGACGAUUUUGUAAGGCCGAUUUUCGGGAUGUUUCAUGGUCUGACAAACACCCCUCUAGCUCUGUCACCUUUCACCGCAGAUGCGGAAGUGAAACAUAGAAAAACAGAUCUCUAGCUUAAAUUUACGGAUUCUCAUGGGGAUUUUUGUAUUACGCUAAUUAGAUGUCCACGCUCCCCCAACAUUAUCAGGACAGAGAAAAACAGACAUGCUCAUUGCUCACAUGGAGCAAUCCAAACGAAAGACAAAUCUCGUAAAUGAUGGUUAUGAAAUAAACCAAAGCUUGUUUCUCACAAGUGUAGCAGGUUGUAAACUCCGCAACCAAUGUUUCCACUCCGAGAAUGAGAACAGUAAAUUACUAAUUAAUACAUGCAUUAACAGAAAUUCAUGUAACCAAAUGACGGAGAUGAAAUGGUACAUUUACAACUGCUGACAUAUGUAAAUGAGGAAUUGAUAAAAAAAUAAAAAAGGGCAAACAAUUCACACAACGAAACAAUGAAUGUGAAAGAAUUGGCAGGAGACAGACUCGCCACACACCCCUCCCCUUCUUCUUGUCUCAACAUUUUAAAUUCUACUCAAGACAUUAUCUUCACACUUAUUUUUAGAUGCUUUCCACUGACAGCCGCAACUCAAUAAUCAGUUAGGCCUAUUGACACGAACGCUGCCCAAAUUGCGGCCUAAUGAUCCUCGAUUCUUUCUGGUGAAGUAUUUUGAAUAAUGCAUUUAUUUAUGUAUAGACAGGAGUAAUUAUACACUUCCCUAUUGGACCCACCACUAUGCCAUUUCUCUCCUGUUUUUUUGGUUGUCUUAUCAACUUUCUGUCAUUGUCCA
Non-coding RNA from Salmo salar (Atlantic salmon), 3261 nucleotides. The record is from RefSeq and is a predicted model, not a curated record. NCBI's taxonomy places the organism in Eukaryota, Metazoa, Chordata, Actinopteri, Salmoniformes, Salmonidae.